Molecule: ribosomal RNA, 466 nt
Filed under: uncultured bacterium
Lineage: Bacteria
Description: bacterial SSU rRNA
Rfam family: Bacterial small subunit ribosomal RNA
Source: RNAcentral
CCAGACUCCUACGGGAGGCAGCAGUGAGGAAUAUUGGUCAAUGGUCGGGAGACUGAACCAGCCAAGUCGCGUGAGGGAAGACUGCCCUAUGGGUUGUAAACCUCUUUUGUCAGGGAGCAACGCCGGCUACGUGUAGCCGGACUGAGAGUACCUGAAGAAAAGGCAUCGGCUAACUCCGUGCCAGCAGCCGCGGUAUAACGAGGAAGCGAGGGUUAUUCGGAUUUAUUGGGUUUAAAGGGUUCGUAGGCGGAAUGCCAAGUCAGCGGUAAAAUCGCGGGGCUCAACCUCGCUCCGCCGUUGAAACUGGCGUUCUUGAGUGGGCGAGAAGUAUGCGGAAUGCGUGGUGUAGCGGUGAAAUGCGUAGAUAUCACGCAGAACUCCGAUUGCGAAGGCAGCAUACCGGCGCCCAACUGACGCUGAAGCACGAAAGCGUGGGUAUCGAACAGGAUUAGAUACCCCCGUAUAA